UCUUGGUCAUUUAGAGGAAGUAAAAGUCGUAACAAGGUCUCCGUUGGUGAACCAGCGGAGGGAUCAUUACCGAGUUUACAACUCCCAAACCCCUGUGAACAUACCACUUGUUGCCUCGGCGGAUCAGCCCGCUCCCGGUAAAACGGGACGGCCCGCCAGAGGACCCCUAAACUCUGUUUCUAUAUGUAACUUCUGAGUAAAACCAUAAAUAAAUCAAAACUUUCAACAACGGAUCUCUUGGUUCUGGCAUCGAUGAAGAACGCAGCAAAAUGCGAUAAGUAAUGUGAAUUGCAGAAUUCAGUGAAUCAUCGAAUCUCUGAACGCACAUUGCGCCCGCCAGUAUUCUGGCGGGCAUGCCUGUUCGAGCGUCAUUUCAACCCUCAAGCACAGCUUGGUGUUGGGACUCGCGUUAAUUCGCGUUCCUCAAAUUGAUUGGCGGUCACGUCGAGCUUCCAUAGCGUAGUAGUAAAACCCUCGUUACUGGUAAUCGUCGCGGCCACGCCGUUAAACCCCAACUUCUGAAUGUUGACCUCGGAUCAGGUAGGAAUACCCGCUGAACUUAAGCAUAUCAAUAAGCGGAGGA
This 583-nucleotide ribosomal RNA is filed under the name uncultured fungus. RNAcentral's name for it is "eukaryotic LSU rRNA". The stretch from base 218 to 371 matches the Rfam family "5.8S ribosomal RNA". Lineage: Eukaryota; Fungi. The record is from RNAcentral.